UACGGGGGGGGCAAGCGUUGUUCGGAAUUACUGGGCGUAAAGGGCUCGUAGGUGGCCAACUAAGUCAGACGUGAAAUCCCUCGGCUUAACCGGGGAACUGCGUCUGAUACUGGAUGGCUUGAGUUCGGGAGAGGGAUGCGGAAUUCUAGGUGUAGCGGUGAAAUGCGUAGAUAUCUGGAGGAACACCGGUGGCGAAGGCGGCAUCCUGGACCGACACUGACACUGAGGAGCGAAAGCCAGGGGAGCAAACGGG
This 253-nucleotide ribosomal RNA is filed under the name uncultured bacterium. Its description in RNAcentral is "partial 16S ribosomal RNA". It matches the Rfam family "Bacterial small subunit ribosomal RNA", at positions 524 to 776 of the family's 1533-position model. The record is from RNAcentral.